CAUCACUACGCUAGAUGCAUAUCAAUAAGCGGAGGAAAAGAAACUAACAAGGAUUCCCCUAGUAACGGCGAGUGAAGCGGGAAGAGCUCAAAUUUGAAAUCUUAAAAGGUUUUCCUUUUACGAAUUGUAGUUUAAAGAAGUGUUUUCCGUUGAAGUUUUGGUACAAGUUCUUUGGAAUAGGACAUCAUAGAGGGUGAGAAUCCCGUAUUUGACCUUAAUUUUUCAACUUUGUGAUACACUUUCAAAGAGUCGGAUUGUUUGGGAAUGCAGUCCAAAAUGGGUGGUAAAUUUCAUCUAAGGCUAAAUAUUGGCGAGAGACCGAUAGCGAACAAGUACCGUGAGGGAAAGAUGAAAAGAACUUUGAAAAGAGAGUUAAAUAGUACGUGAAAUUGUCAAAAGGGAAGCGUUUGGCACCAGUGUUGUUUUUCUAAAAAUCAAUUUAAAAUUUGCUUAUGUUAAGUGUUUUAGACUUAAUCGGCUAUACAUUUAAUUCUUUGUAAAUUUUGAAUGCACUUUUUAGUUAACAAGUCAACAUCAAUUUUUUUUGCUGUAAAAAAGUAAGAGGAAGGUGGCUUGGGAUUCGUUUCGAAGUGUUUAUAGCCUCUUGCCCAUGCAGUAGGAGAGAUUGAGGUCUGCAGCAUAGAUCCUUCGGGGCUAGAUGCUUUGUGCUAGAAGCUAGUAUUAUAUAGACAACUUGUUGAUUAUGUAAUAUAUUAGUUUCUACUCGCUAAAGUUAUUUUACCUACGCUUAGGAUGUUGACUGAUAUGUAGUCGU
Molecule: ribosomal RNA, 775 nt
Filed under: uncultured Neocallimastigales
Lineage: Eukaryota; Fungi; Neocallimastigomycota; Neocallimastigomycetes; Neocallimastigales
Description: partial large subunit ribosomal RNA
Rfam family: Eukaryotic large subunit ribosomal RNA
Source: RNAcentral